GCAGUGGUGGUGCACUGGUAGAAUUCUCGCCUGCCACGCGGUAGACCUGGGUCCGAUUCCUGGCCAAUGCA
Non-coding RNA from Danio rerio (zebrafish), 71 nucleotides. The record is from Rfam. NCBI's taxonomy places the organism in Eukaryota, Metazoa, Chordata, Actinopteri, Cypriniformes, Danionidae.